UUAAGCAUAUCAAUAAGCGGAGGAAAAGAAACUAACAAGGAUUCCCCUAGUAACUGCGAGUGAAGCGGGAAAAGCUCAAAUUUAAAAUCUGGUGGCCUUUGGUCAUCCGAGUUGUAAUUUAGAGAAGCGUCUUCCGCGCUGGACCGUGCACAAGUCUCCUGGAAUGGAGCGUCGUAGAGGGUGAGAAUCCCGUCUUUGGCACGGACGCCCAGUGCUUCUGUGAUGCGCUCUCGAAGAGUCGAGUUGUUUGGGAAUGCAGCUCAAAAUGGGUGGUGAACUCCAUCUAAAGCUAAAUAUUGGCGAGAGACCGAUAGCGAACAAGUACCGUGAGGGAAAGAUGAAAAGCACUUUGGAAAGAGAGUGAAACAGUACGUGAAAUUGUUGAAAGGGAAACGCUUGAAGUCAGUCGCGUCGUCCGAGACUCAGCCUCGCCUCGGCUUGGUGUACUUCUCGGCCGACGGGUCAGCAUCAAUUUUGCCCCUUGGAUAAUGGCGAGGGAAAUGUGACACCUUUACGGGUGUGUUAUAGUCUCUUGUCGCAUGCAAGGGUCGGGAUUGAGGAACUCAGCACGCGCCUUCGGGUGUCGGGGUUUUGCCCACGAUACGUGCUUAGGAUGUUGGCGUAAUGGCUUUAAACGACCCGUCUUGAAACACGGACCAAGGAGUCUAACAUGCCCGCGAGUGUUCGGGUGGAAAACCCGUGCGCGCAAUGAAAGUGAAAGUUGGGACCUCUGUCGUGGAGGGCACCAACGCCCGGACCAGACCUUCUGUGACGGAUCUGCGGUAGAGCGUGUAUGUUAGGACCCGAAAGAUGGUGAACUAUGCCUGAAUAGGGUGAAGCCAGAGGAAACUCUGGUGGAGGCUCGUAGCGAUUCUGACGUGCAAAUCGAUCGUCAAAUUUGGGUAUAGGGGCGAAAGACUAAUCGAACCAUCUAGUAGCUGGUUCCUGCCGAA
RNAcentral lists this ribosomal RNA (953 nucleotides) under Russula sp. Its description in RNAcentral is "partial 28S large subunit ribosomal RNA". It matches the Rfam family "Eukaryotic large subunit ribosomal RNA", at positions 34 to 965 of the family's 3401-position model. Lineage: Eukaryota; Fungi; Basidiomycota; Agaricomycetes; Russulales; Russulaceae. The record is from RNAcentral.